CGGCUACGAUUAAUUGGUUAUCUGCGCUUCUGAGAUUUAUGAUACUUGAAGUAUGAACUUGAAUAAUGGUUGAAUUUCUUGAUAUUGAGUUG
RNAcentral lists this small nucleolar RNA (92 nucleotides) under Olea europaea subsp. europaea. Lineage: Eukaryota; Viridiplantae; Streptophyta; Magnoliopsida; Lamiales; Oleaceae. The record is from RNAcentral.